Long non-coding RNA from Pygocentrus nattereri (red-bellied piranha), 164 nucleotides. Lineage: Eukaryota; Metazoa; Chordata; Actinopteri; Characiformes; Serrasalmidae. The record is from Ensembl.
UGCCCUACUGGAUUCAGUAAAAUGAAUAGGAAGAAGAAGGAGCCCAUUCCAACGGCAUUCUUCCACUUUGCCCAUGAAGCACUGCAGGCAUGAAAGACGAGGCCAAACCUCAAUUCGUAUAUCUUUAAGAAACAAAACUGCUCUUUCUAAUGACCCUUCUAUAC